UACGGAGGAUGCAAGCGUUAUCCGGAAUGAUUGAGCGUAAAGCGUCCGCAGGUGGCUGUGUAAGUCUGCUGUCAAAGAGCGAAGCUCAACUUCGUAAAGGCAGUGGAAACUACACGGCUAGAGUGCGUUCGGGGCAGAGGGAAUUCCUGGUGUAGCGGUGAAAUGCGUAGAGAUCAGGAAGAACACCGGUGGCGAAGGCGCUCUGCUAGGCCGCAACUGACACUGAGGGACGAAAGCUAGGGGAGCGAAUGGG
RNAcentral lists this ribosomal RNA (253 nucleotides) under uncultured bacterium. Its description in RNAcentral is "partial 16S ribosomal RNA". It matches the Rfam family "Bacterial small subunit ribosomal RNA", at positions 524 to 776 of the family's 1533-position model. The record is from RNAcentral.